AAGGAGGAGAAACUCCCCCCCUGCGCCGUGGCGUGGGAGCACGGGGCCGCGCUGGCUGCUGCCUGUCGCCGCUGCCCGCGGCCGCACAAGGCUGCACUGUUGGGAGAAGAACAAAACCUUUGUCCUGCUCCAUCAAGGAAGGCUGGCAAGUCACAAGGUGAGGAAAUGUUCCUGAAGACUGAAGGAUAUAAUUGAUUGAAGAAGGUUUUCUCCCUGACUAAGUGAAAAGUAUUUAUCCUGAAAGUUCAGCUGAAAUUCUCAGAAUUUUAUCUUGCUACGUACGCAACCCAAGCAUUGCAACAGCAGGAACCCAAGAGUGCAACUGCCUUGUCAUUACAGGAGCUGAGAGGAACAGAAACAGCAAAUACUACUACAGAAAUGACAAGCAAAAUUAGGAUUAUUAUUCUUUCAGCCUUAAUCAUGUAAAGUGCAAGCAGUACCGUGGCUCUAUGUCCUGUCAGCUUCAGCCCAAUAUUUCACAUGGUGCCACUGGGGACAGCUUUAUUUCGAAUGAGCAAAUAAAUACAGCUCAGCUUUGGUCAGGGAUAACUCUAACAUGCACAAUCUACUCCAUUCACAACCUCAAACAAAAUUACUGCUUAGGCAGCCUGCAGGUAAAGAGCUGGAGUAACCUCAGUUGGUUAGGAAAGAAAUUAAUUGGAGUGAAAGUCCUUGAUGUCAUCGCAGUGCUGCUGGGCUCUCAGAGAGAUGUGAACACUCUGCUGGGAACCUGCUCCCUGCAGACACCAACAUCUGCAAUUAAAAAGGGUUAAUGCUCAUUCUGUGAAUCCUUCCCAGCAUUUACUGCUUCAGCAUGACUUUGGUUUUCACUUUUCUUUCUAGAAGCCAAAGGGAUUUUUUUUUUUUGUCUUUAAUACCAUCAAGAACAGGAAUAGAAACUUUGCAAUAAGCUCAGAAUGUUCUUUGGCUCGGAACAUGGGAAAGAGAUUUAGGGUUGGAUUUCCUAUUGCUUCACACUCAUUCCUGCCUGCUAGCAGGGUGAUGAUUUUGGGCAGGCAUUUCUCUUAAUGAGCCACUGGCAAAAUGACCUGUUUCCCCCUAACUUACUGUUGUAAUCUCUGAUGGUUUCUGGAGGUAAAUGCUUUACCUUCCCUCCUGCCAGUAACCAGGAAGACUGAACUCCAGUGUCAUCUUUUCAAAGACACACUUUGUUUUGUAGACAGGAAGAGCAGGGAGGUGAAGAUGUUUAUCACUUUCUGUGGAGUUUUAUUAGAACGUUUGGGAUGGAUGGUCUGGUUCCACGACCCUCUUGGCAACUGAUCGUAACCGUCUAACCUUUACGGUGAUUCAAUGAUGAAUAUCCAGAAGCAGAGAAAAGUAAAGAAGCAUCCUGCCCUUCAGAGUGGGAAAACAAGGCAGUAUGGGGAUGCCAAGGGGCUGGAGCCCGUGUCAGAGCUGGGACUUGCACAAGAGCUCUCUGUCAGAGGUCCCUGUGCACUGUGCCUCCCACUCGUGCCACUGCUGGAGCUCUCUGUUCCCAGCAGCUGGUCUGACAGCGUUUUGUGAUUGACUUUACAACUGUGCAAACCCCAGAUAUUAAUAGCAGAGAGAUGUCCAGUGCUUUCAGCUCUUCAGCUGUGUGGCUGGCUGGGAGCUGAUUCCUGUGUGCAGACGGGGAAUUGUCCUUGCUCAGGUACUUCAGUCCGUGGGUUUGUUGUGGGCUGACCUGGGAGGAGGAGCAUGUUGGAGGCUUUGACCUGAUCUGGAAUGACAGGCCUGUCAGCAGAGGGGGAGAUCUGGGUGCUCUGGUGAAUGAGAGCAUCAUGGCAAACACAUAUUUCGGUGCAGAACUCACCCAGUGCUGGCAGGUGCCCUGCUCAGUCCUGAAGCUGUCUGCAGGCCAGCAGGAGAGCACACAGCUCUGCUGGACAACAAGAGAAGUGUGAGCCCUUAGGGGAUUAAGAGACCAAAAGGAGCAAGUGCUUUCAAAGAAGAAAACACCCUGCAGUGGCUGUGGUGACUGUUAAUUGGGCACUUACCUGAAGCUGGUUGUGUAUUUUACUGUUGGGAAGUAGUACUUGGUUUGUCUGUGCUGACAGGCACUGUAACCUCAUUGUAACCUUUCGACAUGCACAUCUCAGUGUGCCCACAAUCGUCUCUGGCUGUGGUGUCUGACUAACAAAACACGAGGGCAGCAUCACCUGAAAGUGAAACAUCACCUCCCCUCUACAGGCAGGAAGAGGCAGGUGAUGUGGAACUCCCCUGUUAACAUUUUCCUGGCAGGCUGCUGUGAUGCCAGGAAGAGACAACUGA
This is a long non-coding RNA of Myiozetetes cayanensis, 2274 nucleotides long. RefSeq lists it as uncharacterized. The record is from RefSeq and is a predicted model, not a curated record. The transcript has 4 exons. Lineage: Eukaryota; Metazoa; Chordata; Aves; Passeriformes; Tyrannidae.